Molecule: ribosomal RNA, 850 nt
Filed under: Distoseptispora sp.
Lineage: Eukaryota; Fungi; Ascomycota; Sordariomycetes; Distoseptisporaceae
Description: partial large subunit ribosomal RNA
Rfam family: Eukaryotic large subunit ribosomal RNA
Source: RNAcentral
CAGGGAUUGCCCCAGUAACGGCGAGUGAAGCGGCAACAGCUCAGAUUUGAAAUCUGGCCCUUUCGGGGUCCGAGUUGUAAUCUGUAGAGGAUGCUUUUGGCGACGCGCCUUCCGAGUCCCCUGGAACGGGGCGCCAGAGAGGGUGAGAGCCCCGUAUGGUUGGACGCCGAACCUCUGUAAAGCUCCUUCGACGAGUCGAGUAGUUUGGGAAUGCUGCUCAAAAUGGGAGGUAAAUUUCUUCUAAAGCUAAAUACCGGCCAGAGACCGAUAGCGCACAAGUAGAGUGAUCGAAAGAUGAAAAGCACUUUGAAAAGAGGGUCAAAUAGCACGUGAAAUUGCUGAAAGGGAAGCGCUUGUGACCAGACUUGCGCCCGGUUGAUCAUCCAGCGUUCUCGCUGGUGCACUCUGCCGGGCUCAGGCCAGCAUCGGCUCUCCCAGGGGGAUAAAGGUCGCGGGAACGUAGCUCUCUCCGGGGAGUGUUAUAGCCCGUGGCGGAAUGCCCUUAGGGGGGGCCGAGGCCCGCGUUCGCAAGGAUGCUGGCGUAAUGGUCACCAGCGACCCGUCUUGAAACACGGACCAAGGAGUCAAGCAUUAGGGCGAGUCUUUGGGUGCAAAACCCGCAGGCGCAAUGAAAGUGAACGGAGGUGAGAGCUUCGGCGCAUCAUCGACCGAUCCUGAUGUUCUCGGAUGGAUUUGAGUAAGAGCCUUACCGCUUGGACCCGAAAGAUGGUGAACUAUGCCUGAAUAGGGUGAAGCCAGAGGAAACUCUGGUGGAGGCUCGCAGCGGUUCUGACGUGCAAAUCGAUCGUCAAAUUUGGGCAUGGGGGCGAAAGACUAAUCGAACCAUCUA